Molecule: long non-coding RNA, 1098 nt
Organism: Corythoichthys intestinalis (scribbled pipefish)
Lineage: Eukaryota; Metazoa; Chordata; Actinopteri; Syngnathiformes; Syngnathidae
Exons: 2
Source: RefSeq, a predicted model, not a curated record
AACGCUCUUACCGCUGUGAGCACUGAACCAGCGGGGAGCGAUGUGCAGGGGUAAGGUGUCAGCCAGCGACCCCCGGGACCCCAAAUAGAGCACCCCGUCUGCGUGAUGCCGUCCGCCGCCACCGUCCUGAUAGCCUGUUCCGUGAGAGGCGGCAGGAGUGCCCCCUGACCCUCCUCCGGCUCGAUCUGAGUCCGUGCCUCUCGGAGUGUAAAAGCCGAAGGGCACCGUGGGUGUUUGCUCGAUAGCCAUCGCGGCCACGGAGCUCACCGAGCGGCUCCGCAGGCCCAUGGUGCCGCCCGACCGGUAGUGGCCGAAGUGGGCCGACGGCGGUACCGCGCUGUCAUCCGUAGAAACGCCGGGAAAAGCACCGCGGGACCGCCCCGCCGUGCUCUGUUUCCCCCCCAUCCGACAAACGGGGGUUGUUGGUCGAAUAGGAGGGGGCUCGACUCGAUCCGCAAAGGGUCGAGGGAGCCGUAACAGGCUGUCGCCCCCUCCUCUCGCUUCUGUCUGCCUCUCGAGGCGCCUGUCUGCUAUUCCUUGCGCUCGCUGUGCGUGUCCGACUCCGCAAGAUCGUCAGCUAUGACUGCGUGCAGACGCAACAGCUCGUGUCCCCGCUGAGCGGAUCAUCGGCCAGCCCGGGCGUCUGGAUUCAGCUCUCCCGCAGACAGACCUCGACGGAACCGGGACGAGGCAGACACGCUAAAUGACGCAGAGAUCCCAGGAUGACACGCGCACGCAGACGGACACACGUACGAGGCUCCCCUGCUUGUCCCAGAUGCUCUUCUGAAAUAUUUUCCUUCCACCUCUGUACAUCCCGGGGCAUUUCUACAGCCAACUUAUCCACAUUAGCACCAAGUCCAGUACCUUCCUGCACACAAACUGCCAGUGGAGAAAGAAGUCUUCCUCAGUGCAGCCUGCCAGUGCAAUAAGCCAAACUGUCUCCUCCACUCAUCCCAAUUUUAAUUUAUUUUAUUUAUUUAUGUUUUUUUUUUAAAGUGUUUUUGAUUGGUGUUUUUUAAUAGUUAGUAGAGCAUUUUUCUUUUAAUUUCUGCACUUGUUCGUUGUUGUUUUUUUAAAAUAAAUUACAGAGAUAUUGUU